GGGAUACUCGGGAAACUGACGCUAAUACCCAUAGGUGACAGACUCUGGCAAUGACUGUCACUGAAAGGCAUUUGCAUGUUGCUUGUUGAUGCUGCCCAGGGAUGGGUCUGCGGUGGAUUAGGCUGACGUUAGGGUAAUGGCCUAACGUACCUACGAUCCGUACCAGCUAUGAGAGUAGGUGCUGGGAGAUGGAUACUGAGACAAAGAUCCAGGCUCUACGGAGCGCAGCAGGCGCGAAACCUCUACAAUGUGCGAAAGCAUGAUAGGGGGACUCCGAGUGUCUCUCUAAAGGGAGACUUUUGUAGUAUGUAAAAAGUACUACGGAAUAAGGGGUGGUCAAGACUAGUGCCAGCCUCCGCGGUAACACUAGCAACCCAAGUGGUAGUCGCUUUUAUUUGGCUUAAAGCGUCCGUAGUCUGGUCGGUAAGUUCUCUGUGAAAUCCUGUUGCUUAACAAUAGGGCUUGCAGAGAAUACUACCAAUCUUGGAGCCAAGAGAGGUUAGGGGUAUUCCAGGGGUAGCGGUGAAAUGCUAUAAUCCCUGGAGGACCACCAAUAGCGAAGGCACCUAACUGGAAUGGGCUCGACGAUGAGGGACAAAAGCUAGGGGAGCAAACCGGAUUAGAUACCCGGGUAGUCCUAGCCGUAAACGAUGUGGGCUGAGUGUUUCUUGAACUUCGAGUUCGAGAAGUGCUGAAGGGAAACCGUUAAGCCCACCGCCUGGGGAGUACGGUCGCAAGGCUGAAACUUAAAGGAAUUGGCGGGGGAGCACCACAAGGGGUGGAGUCUGCGGUUUAAUUGGAUACAACGCCGGGAAACUUACCAGGGGCGACGGCAGGAUGAAGGUCAGAUUAAUGAUCUUACUGAACGAGCCGAGAGGUAGUGCAUGGCCGCCGUCAGCUCGUACCGUGAGGCGUGCGGUUAAGUCCGUUAACGAGCGAGACCCGUGCCUCUAUUUGCUACCUUUCUCGUGAGAGGGAGGGCACUAUAGGGGGACCGCUGGCGAUGAGUCAGAGGAAGGCGCGGUCGACGAUAGGUCUGUAUGCUCCAAAUCUCCUGGGCUACACGUGGACUACAAUGGCAUGGACAAUGGGUUGCAACGCCGAAAGGUGGGAGCCAAUCCCCAAACCAUGUCUUAGUUCGGAUCGAGUUUUGAAACUCAGACUCGUGAAGCUGAAAUCCCUAGUAAUCGCUGGUAACUAUCUAGCGGUGAAUAUGUCCCUGCUCCUUGCACACACCGCCCGUCAA
Molecule: ribosomal RNA, 1246 nt
Filed under: uncultured euryarchaeote
Lineage: Archaea; Methanobacteriati; Methanobacteriota
Description: bacterial SSU rRNA
Rfam family: Archaeal small subunit ribosomal RNA
Source: RNAcentral